Molecule: unclassified non-coding RNA, 402 nt
Filed under: soil metagenome
Description: partial contains 5.8S ribosomal RNA, internal transcribed spacer 2, and large subunit ribosomal RNA
Rfam family: 5.8S ribosomal RNA (bases 1-121)
Source: RNAcentral
GAUGAAGAACGUAGCGAAAUGCGAUACUUGGUGUGAAUUGCAGAAUUCAGUGAAUCAUCGAAUCUUUGAACGCACCUUGCGCCCUUUGGCUAUUCUGAAGGGCAUGCCUGUUUGAGUAUCGUGAACACCUCAACUCUCAUGGUCUGCCAUGAUGAGCUUGGACUUUGGGGGUCUUGCUGGCCUACUGUCAGCUCCUCUCAAAUGAAUCAGCUUACCAGUGUUUGGUGGCACCACAGGUGUGAUAACUAUCUACGCUUGUGGUUUUCUGCCAGGUAACCUCCAGUGAUGGAGGUUCGCUGGAGCUCACAAAUGUCUCUCCUCAGCGAGGACAGCUUUUUGAACGUUUGAUCUCAAAUCAGGUAGGACUACCCGCUGAACUUAAGCAUAUCAAUAAGCGGAGGA